UUGCUCGCUUCAGCAGCACCUAUGUUAAAAUUGGAGCGAUACAGAGAAGGUUAGCAUGGCCCUGGUGCAAGGAUGCCCCUGUCCUACAGUGGAUUUCAAUUCACUG
This is a small nuclear RNA of Echinops telfairi (small Madagascar hedgehog), 106 nucleotides long. NCBI's taxonomy places the organism in Eukaryota, Metazoa, Chordata, Mammalia, Afrosoricida, Tenrecidae. The record is from Ensembl.